AGAGAGCGGCGUACGGGUGCGGAACACGUGUGCAACCUACCUUUAUCAGGGGGAUAGCCUUUCGAAAGGAAGAUUAAUACCCCAUAAUAUAUUGAAUGGCAUCAUUUAAUAUUGAAAACUCCGGUGGAUAGAGAUGGGCACGCGCAAGAUUAGAUAGUUGGUAGGGUAACGGCCUACCAAGUCAGUGAUCUUUAGGGGGCCUGAGAGGGUGAUCCCCCACACUGGUACUGAGACACGGACCAGACUCCUACGGGAGGCAGCAGUGAGGAAUAUUGGACAAUGGGUGAGAGCCUGAUCCAGCCAUCCCGCGUGAAGGACGACGGCCCUAUGGGUUGUAAACUUCUUUUGUAUAGGGAUAAACCUACUCUCGUGAGAGUAGCUGAAGGUACUAUACGAAUAAGCACCGGCUAACUCCGUGCCAGCAGCCGCGGUAAUACGGAGGGUGCAAGCGUUAUCCGGAUUUAUUGGGUUUAAAGGGUCCGUAGGCGGGCUUGUAAGUCAGUGGUGAAAUCUCAUAGCUUAACUAUGAAACUGCCAUUGAUACUGCAGGUCUUGAGUAAAGUAGAAGUGGCUGGAAUAAGUAGUGUAGCGGUGAAAUGCAUAGAUAUUACUUAGAACACCAAUUGCGAAGGCAGGUCACUAUGUUUUAACUGACGCUGAUGGACGAAAGCGUGGGGAGCGAACAGGAUUAGAUACCCUGGUAGUCCACGCCGUAAACGAUGCUAACUCGUUUUUGGGCUUUCGGGUUCAGAGACUAAGCGAAAGUGAUAAGUUAGCCACCUGGGGAGUACGUUCGCAAGAAUGAAACUCAAAGGAAUUGACGGGGGCCCGCACAAGCGGUGGAUUAUGUGGUUUAAUUCGAUGAUACGCGAGGAACCUUACCAAGGCUUAAAUGGGAAUUGACAGGUUUAGAAAUAGACUUUUCUUCGGACAAUUUUCAAGGUGCUGCAUGGUUGUCGUCAGCUCGUGCCGUGAGGUGUUAGGUUAAGUCCUGCAACGAGCGCAACCCCUGUCACUAGUUGCCAUCAUUCAGUUGGGGACUCUAGUGAGACUGCCUACGCAAGUAGAGAGGAAGGUGGGGAUGACGUCAAAUCAUCACGGCCCUUACGCCUUGGGCCACACACGUAAUACAAUGGCCGGUACAGAGGGCAGCUACCUAGCGAUAGGAUGCGAAUCUCGAAAGCCGGUCUCAGUUCGGAUUGGAGUCUGCAACUCGACUCUAUGAAGCUGGAAUCGCUAGUAAUCGCAUAUCAGCCAUGAUGCGGUGAAUACGUUCCCGGGCCUUGUACACACCGCCCGUC
Molecule: ribosomal RNA, 1301 nt
Filed under: Chryseobacterium sp.
Lineage: Bacteria; Pseudomonadati; Bacteroidota; Flavobacteriia; Flavobacteriales; Weeksellaceae
Description: bacterial SSU rRNA
Rfam family: Bacterial small subunit ribosomal RNA
Source: RNAcentral